UACGUAGGGGGCUAGCGUUGUCCGGAAUCAUUGGGCGUAAAGCGCGUGUAGGCGGCCCGGUAAGUCCGCUGUGAAAGUCGGGGGGCUCAACCCUCGGAUGCCGGUGGAGUACUGUCGGGCUCGAGUACGGAAGAGGCGAGUGGAAUUCCUGGUGUAGCGGUGAAAUGCGCAGAUAUCAGGAGGAACACCAAUUGCGAAGGGCAGCUCGC
This 209-nucleotide ribosomal RNA is filed under the name uncultured bacterium. RNAcentral describes it as "partial 16S ribosomal RNA". It matches the Rfam family "Bacterial small subunit ribosomal RNA", at positions 524 to 729 of the family's 1533-position model. The record is from RNAcentral.